CGCGUUUUUCCUGGCUUCUCAUGUCUUAAAAACGUCAUUUGGAAAAGUAGUUUAAGAAAUUGGCGUACGCUUUCUGGUUAUGAAACUGUCUUUUUCGCCAUGUGUGCGCAAGCAAACAUACAUAUGAAAAUUACCAAGGACGUGAAAGAA
This is a non-coding RNA of Caenorhabditis elegans, 150 nucleotides long. NCBI's taxonomy places the organism in Eukaryota, Metazoa, Nematoda, Chromadorea, Rhabditida, Rhabditidae. The record is from Ensembl.